GAGUUUAUGGUUUUGUGAGUUUAUGUUUGUGUAAUUGAAAUUUGAACUUUGGAAAAUUCGACGUAUCAUCUGUUCCUUGCUCUUUAAGCGUUCAGAUUAGAAAAAAUUGCUUGAUUAGAUUCAAAUUGCUUGGCAGUUACCUGGAAAGUCUAAUUUUAUAUGUUACAUAGGGGAUUAUAUCACAAGCGGGCAAAUAAUGUGCUGUGGCAAUACUGUAAAGCUUGUUGAUACAUAGUCCUGUGUAUUAUCUGCGCAUCAGUUGUUGCAAUAUAUACAUUGGUGGAAUUGUGGUGUAUGUAGUGCAUGAUACCAAAGACUAAAGAGAAUGCGACAACAUUGUAACUUUAUAAUUUUGUUUGCUUCAAACAUGUAGUUCUUUCUAUCAACACAAAUAGCUUAGCGUGCAUUUUGUUCUUUUGACUGCAGAUUGAUUAGUAAAGUAUUAUGGUGCAGCAGUUUACAGGAGAUUGUUUCAAUUAUAUGUUAUUUUGUCAUUGUUGGUACAAUAUUUCAUAUUUCUUGCCUGUGUUGUAUAUUGG
RNAcentral lists this unclassified non-coding RNA (539 nucleotides) under Hevea brasiliensis (rubber tree). Lineage: Eukaryota; Viridiplantae; Streptophyta; Magnoliopsida; Malpighiales; Euphorbiaceae. The record is from RNAcentral.